UGCCUACGGGGGGCAGCAGUAGGGAAUAUUGCUCAAUGGGGGAAACCCUGAAGCAGCAACGCCGCGUGGAGGAUGAAGGUUUUCGGAUUGUAAACUCCUUUUGUUAGAGAAGAUAAUGACGGUAUCUAACGAAUAAGCACCGGCUAACUCCGUGCCAGCAGCCGCGGUAAUACGUAGGUGGCAAGCGUUGUCCGGAAUUACUGGGUGUAAAGGGAGCGCAGGCGGGAAGCCAAGUCAGCUGUGAAAACUACGGGCUUAACUUGUAGACUGCAGUUGAAACUGGUUUUCUUGAGUGAAGUAGAGGU
Molecule: ribosomal RNA, 305 nt
Filed under: uncultured bacterium
Lineage: Bacteria
Description: bacterial SSU rRNA
Rfam family: Bacterial small subunit ribosomal RNA
Source: RNAcentral